RNAcentral lists this ribosomal RNA (428 nucleotides) under Bacteroidota bacterium. RNAcentral describes it as "Bacteroidetes bacterium partial 16S ribosomal RNA". It matches the Rfam family "Bacterial small subunit ribosomal RNA", at positions 355 to 776 of the family's 1533-position model. The record is from RNAcentral. Lineage: Bacteria; Pseudomonadati; Bacteroidota.
UAGGGAAUCUUCCGCAAUGGGCGAAAGCCUGACGGAGCAACGCCGCGUGAGUGAUGAAGGUCUUCGGAUCGUAAAACUCUGUUAUUAGGGAAGAACAAAUGUGUAAGUAACUAUGCACAUCUUGACGGUACCUAAUCAGAAAGCCACGGCUAACUACGUGCCAGCAGCCGCGGUAAUACGUAGGUGGCAAGCGUUAUCCGGAAUUAUUGGGCGUAAAGCGCGCGUAGGCGGUCAAUUAAGUCUGAUGUGAAAGCCCCCGGCUCAACCGGGGAGGUCAUUGGAAACUGGUUGACUUGAGUGCAGAAGAGGAGAGUGGAAUUCCAUGUGUAGCGGUGAAAUGCGUAGAUAUAUGGAGGAACACCAGUGGCGAAGGCGACUCUCUGGUCUGUAACUGACGCUGAGGUUCGAAAGCGUGGGUAGCAAACAGG